AGUGAACGCUGGCGGUAGGCCUAACACAUGCAAGUCGAACGGCAGCACAGUAAGAGCUUGCUCUUACGGGUGGCGAGUGUCGGACGGGUGAGGAAUACAUCGGAAUCUACUUUUUCGUGGGGGAUAACGUAGGGAAACUUACGCUAAUACCGCAUACGACCUACGGGUGAAAGCAGGGGAUCUUCGGACCUUGCGCGAUUGAAUGAGCCGAUGUCGGAUUAGCUAGUUGGCGGGGUAAAGGCCCACCAAGGCGACGAUCCGUAGCUGGUCUGAGAGGAUGAUCAGCCACACUGGCAGUGAGACAGGGUCCAGACUCCUACGGGAGGCAGCAGUGGGGAAUAUUGGACGAUGGGCGCAAGCCUGAUACAGCCAUACCGCGUGGAUGAAGAAGGCCUUCGGGUUGUUAAGCCCUUUUGUUGGGAAAGAAAAGCAGCAGGUUAAUACCCCGCUGUUCUGACGGUACCCAAAGAAUAAGCACCGGCUAACUUCGUG
RNAcentral lists this ribosomal RNA (492 nucleotides) under uncultured bacterium. Its description in RNAcentral is "partial 16S ribosomal RNA". It matches the Rfam family "Bacterial small subunit ribosomal RNA", at positions 29 to 507 of the family's 1533-position model. The record is from RNAcentral.